Molecule: unclassified non-coding RNA, 209 nt
Filed under: plant metagenome
Description: partial contains small subunit ribosomal RNA and internal transcribed spacer 1
Rfam family: Eukaryotic small subunit ribosomal RNA (bases 1-46)
Source: RNAcentral
AAGUCGUAACAAGGUUUCCGUAGGUGAACCUGCGGAAGGAUCAUUAAAGAACGCCCCGUUUUUUUCACAAAUGGGUUCAAUACCCCCUAACCGUGUAUACCUCUCUUGUUGCGUUGCGCCUGCGUGUGGCCGUUGCAUCCGUACUGCGCCCGCCAGAGGACCCAAACUCGUUUGUUUAGUGAUGUCUGAGUACUAUAAAAUAUUUAAAA